GACGAACGCUGGCGGCGUGCUUAACACAUGCAAGUCGAACGAUGAAACCUAGCUUGCUAGGUCGAUUAGUGGCGAACGGGUGAGUAACACGUGACUAACCUGCCCCUUUCUCUGGGAUAACGCUCCGAAAGGAGUGCUAAUACCGGAUACUCACACCGAGGCACAUGCCUUGGUGUGGAAAGUUUUUCGGAAAGGGAUGGAGUCGCGGCCUAUCAGCUUGUUGGUGAGGUAACGGCUCACCAAGGCGACGACGGGUAGCCGGCCUGAGAGGGCGAGCGGCCACACGGGGACUGAGACACGGCCCAGACUCCUACGGGAGGCAGCAGUGGGGAAUAUUGCACAAUGGGCGCAAGCCUGAUGCAGCGACGCCGCGUGAGGGAUGAAGGUCUUCGGAUUGUAAACCUCUUUCAGUAGGGACGAAGCGAAAGUGACGGUACCUAAAGAAGAAGCACCGGCUAACUACGUGCCAGCCGCCGCCGUAA
RNAcentral lists this ribosomal RNA (482 nucleotides) under uncultured bacterium. Its description in RNAcentral is "partial 16S ribosomal RNA". It matches the Rfam family "Bacterial small subunit ribosomal RNA", at positions 28 to 523 of the family's 1533-position model. The record is from RNAcentral.